RNAcentral lists this ribosomal RNA (253 nucleotides) under uncultured bacterium. Its description in RNAcentral is "partial 16S ribosomal RNA". It matches the Rfam family "Bacterial small subunit ribosomal RNA", at positions 524 to 776 of the family's 1533-position model. The record is from RNAcentral.
UACGUAGGGACCAAGCGUUGUCCGGAUUUAUUGGGCGUAAAGAGCGUGUAGGCGGCCAUACAGGUCCGUUGUGAAAACUGGAGGCUUAACCUCCAGACGUCGAUGGAAACCGUAUGGCUAGAGUCCGGAAGAGGAGAGUGGAAUUCCUGGUGUAGCGGUGAAAUGCGCAGAUAUCAGGAAGAACACCCGUGGCGAAGGCGGCUCUCUGGGACGGUACUGACGCUGAGACGCGAAAGCGUGGGGAGCGAACAGG